This 301-nucleotide ribosomal RNA is filed under the name uncultured bacterium. RNAcentral describes it as "partial 16S ribosomal RNA". It matches the Rfam family "Bacterial small subunit ribosomal RNA", at positions 509 to 807 of the family's 1533-position model. The record is from RNAcentral.
CAGUCGCCACGGUAAUACGAAGGGGGCUAGCGUUGCUCGGAAUGACUGGGCGUAAAGGGCGCGUAGGCGGUGCGGAUAGUCAGAUGUGAAAUUCCUGGGCUUAACCUGGGGGCUGCAUUUGAUACGUCCGCGCUUGAGUGUGGAAGAGGGUCGUGGAAUUCCCUGUGUACAGGUGAAAUUCGUAGAUAUUGGGAAGAACACCGGUGGCGAAGGCGGCGACCUGGUCCAUAACUGACGCUGAGGCGCGAAAGCGUGGGGAGCAAACAGGAUUAGAUACCCGUGUAGUCCCUGUCUCUUAUAC